Molecule: ribosomal RNA, 435 nt
Filed under: uncultured bacterium
Lineage: Bacteria
Description: bacterial SSU rRNA
Rfam family: Bacterial small subunit ribosomal RNA
Source: RNAcentral
AACGAACGCUGGCGGCAUGCCUAACACAUGCAAGUCGAACGAAGGCUUCGGCCUUAGUGGCGCACGGGUGCGUAACGCGUGGGAACCUGCCCCUCGGUUCGGAAUAACAGUUAGAAAUGACUGCUAAUACCGGAUGAUGACUUCGGUCCAAAGAUUUAUCGCCGAGGGAUGGGCCCGCGUAGGAUUAGCUAGUUGGGUGGGGUAAAGCCUACCAAGGCGACGAUCCUUAGCUGGUCUGAGAGGAUGAUCAACCACACUGGGACUGAGACACGGCCCAGACUCCUACGGGAGGCAGCAGUGGGGAAUAUUGGACAAGUGGGCGAAAGCCUGAUCCAGCAAUGCCGCGUGAGUGAUGAAGGCCUUAGGGUUGUAAAGCUCUUUUACCAGGGAUGAUAAUGACAGUACCUGGAGAAUAAGCUCCGGCUAACUCCGUAG